This 571-nucleotide ribosomal RNA is filed under the name Salmonella enterica subsp. enterica serovar Paratyphi B. RNAcentral describes it as "partial 23S ribosomal RNA". It matches the Rfam family "Bacterial large subunit ribosomal RNA", at positions 2259 to 2925 of the family's 2925-position model. Lineage: Bacteria; Pseudomonadati; Pseudomonadota; Gammaproteobacteria; Enterobacterales; Enterobacteriaceae. The record is from RNAcentral.
UGGUGGGUAGUUUGACUGGGGCGGUCUCCUCCUAAAGAGUAACGGAGGAGCACGAAGGUUGGCUAAUCCUGGUCGGACAUCAGGAGGUUAGUGCAAUGGCAUAAGCCAGCUUGACUGCGAGCGUGACGGCGCGAGCAGGUGCGAAAGCAGGUCAUAGUGAUCCGGUGGUUCUGAAUGGAAGGGCCAUCGCUCAACGGAUAAAAGGUACUCCGGGGAUAACAGGCUGAUACCGCCCAAGAGUUCAUAUCGACGGCGGUGUUUGGCACCUCGAUGUCGGCUCAUCACAUCCUGGGGCUGAAGUAGGUCCCAAGGGUAUGGCUGUUCGCCAUUUAAAGUGGUACGCGAGCUGGGUUUAGAACGUCGUGAGACAGUUCGGUCCCUAUCUGCCGUGGGCGCUGGAGAACUGAGGGGGGCUGCUCCUAGUACGAGAGGACCGGAGUGGACGCAUCACUGGUGUUCGGGUUGUCAUGCCAAUGGCACUGCCCGGUAGCUAAAUGCGGAAGAGAUAAGUGCUGAAAGCAUCUAAGCACGAAACUUGCCCCGGGAUGAGUUCUCCCUGAGACUUAGAGUC